CCUAAGGCGAGGCCGACAGGCGUAGUCGAUGGACAUCGGGUUGAUAUUCCCGAACCGAUCGUAGGAGGACCCAUACCGAGGCAGUCGAUGCUAACCACCCGAGUUUUCCCCAUGCCCUUCGGGGUGUGGAGGUUGACGAGGCUGGGAACCAAGGUUGUAGUAGGUCAGCGCGAGGAAUGACGCAGAGAGGUAGCUUCCGCGGACUUAAUGGAAUAGUCCGUCUAAGCGUGCAGCCCGACCCCGGGUAAUGCUGGGGUCAUCAAGGGUCAGACGUGAUGGGGAUCCCGUAUGGGCGUAGGUGAGUGAUCCUGUACUGCCUAGAAAAGUUCCGGCGUGACGAAUACGGUCGCCCGUACCCUAAACCGACUCAGGUGAUCAGGUAGAGAAUACCGAGGCGUUCGAGAGAAUCGUGGUUAAGGAACUCGGCAAAAUGCCCCCGUAACUUCGGGAGAAGG
RNAcentral lists this ribosomal RNA (455 nucleotides) under uncultured eukaryote. RNAcentral's name for it is "partial Bacterial large subunit ribosomal RNA". It matches the Rfam family "Bacterial large subunit ribosomal RNA", at positions 1390 to 1746 of the family's 2925-position model. The record is from RNAcentral.